Molecule: ribosomal RNA, 453 nt
Filed under: uncultured bacterium
Lineage: Bacteria
Description: SSU rRNA
Rfam family: Bacterial small subunit ribosomal RNA
Source: RNAcentral
AGAGCGAACGCUGGCGGCAGGCUUAACACAUGCAAGUCGAGCGGGCGUAGCAAUACGUCAGCGGCAGACGGGUGAGUAACGCGUGGGAACAUACCUUUUGGUUCGGAACAACACAGGGAAACUUGUGCUAAUACCGGAUAAGCCCUUACGGGGAAAGAUUUAUCGCCAAAAGAUUGGCCCGCGUCUGAUUAGCUAGUUGGUGAGGUAACGGCUCACCAAGGCGACGAUCAGUAGCUGGUCUGAGAGGAUGAUCAGCCACAUUGGGACUGAGACACGGCCCAAACUCCUACGGGAGGCAGCAGUGGGAAUAUUGCACAAUGGGCGCAAGCCUGAUGCAGCGACGCCGCGUGAGGGAUGACGGCCUUCGGGUUGUAAACCUCUUUCAGUAUCGACGAAGCGCAAGUGACGGUAGGUACAGGAAGAAGGACCGGCCAACUACGUGCCAGCAGCCGC